AUUGAACGCUGGCGGCAUGCCUUACACAUGCAAGUCGAACGGCAGCACGGGAGCUUGCUCCUGGUGGCGAGUGGCGAACGGGUGAGUAAUACAUCGGAACAUGCCCAGUCGUGGGGGAUAACACUUCGAAAGAAGUGCUAAUACCGCAUACGUCCUGAGGGAGAAAGCGGGGGAUCGCAAGACCUCGCGCGAUUGGAGUGGCCGAUGUCAGAUUAGCUAGUUGGUGGGUAAAGGCUACCAAGGCAACGAUCUGUAGCUGGUCUGAGAGGAUGAUCAGCCACACUGGGACUGAGACACGGUCCAGACUCCUACGGGAGGCAGCAGUGGGGAAUUUUGGACAAUGGGGGCAACCCUGAUCCAGCCAUUCCGCGUGAGUGAAGAAGGCC
Molecule: ribosomal RNA, 386 nt
Filed under: uncultured bacterium
Lineage: Bacteria
Description: bacterial SSU rRNA
Rfam family: Bacterial small subunit ribosomal RNA
Source: RNAcentral